UACGAAGGGGGCUAGCGUUGUUCGGAAUUACUGGGCGUAAAGCGUAUGCAGGCGGCUCGUUAAGUCGGGGGUGAAAUCCCGAGGCUCAACCUCGGAACUGCCUUCGAUACUGGCGACCUUCGAGUCCGGGAGAGGUGAGUGGAACUCCGAGUGUAGAGGUGAAAUUCGUAGAUAUUCGGAAGAACACCAGUGGCGAAGGCGGCUCACUGGCCCGGUACUGACGCUGAGAUACGAAAGCGUGGGGAGCAAACAGG
RNAcentral lists this ribosomal RNA (254 nucleotides) under uncultured bacterium. Its description in RNAcentral is "partial 16S ribosomal RNA". It matches the Rfam family "Bacterial small subunit ribosomal RNA", at positions 524 to 776 of the family's 1533-position model. The record is from RNAcentral.